UACAGGGGGUGCAAACGUUGCUCGGAAUCAUUGGGCGUAAAGCGCACGUAGGCGGUUCGUUAUGUCGGAUGUGAAAACCCGGAGCUCAACUCCGGGCCUGCAGUCGAUACGGGCGGACUCGAGUUCGGCAGGGGAGAACGGAAUUCCCGGUGUAGCGGUGAAAUGCGCAGAUAUCGGGAGGAACACCGGUGGCGAAGGCGGUUCUCUGGGCCUGUACUGACGCUGAGGAGCGAAAGCGUGGGGAGCGAACAGG
RNAcentral lists this ribosomal RNA (253 nucleotides) under uncultured bacterium. Its description in RNAcentral is "partial 16S ribosomal RNA". It matches the Rfam family "Bacterial small subunit ribosomal RNA", at positions 524 to 776 of the family's 1533-position model. The record is from RNAcentral.